Molecule: ribosomal RNA, 406 nt
Filed under: uncultured bacterium
Lineage: Bacteria
Description: partial 16S ribosomal RNA
Rfam family: Bacterial small subunit ribosomal RNA
Source: RNAcentral
AUUGAACGCUGGCGGCAUGCCUAACACAUGCAAGUCGAACGAGUGGCGGACGGGUGAGUAAUGUCUGGGAAACUGCCUGAUGGAGGGGGAUAACUACUGGAAACGGUAGCUAAUACCGCAUACCAUCAGAUGUGCCCAGAUGGGAUUAGCUAGUAGGUGGGGUAACGGCUCACCUAGGCGACGAUCCCUAGCUGGGCUAAGAGGAUGACCAGACACACUGGAACUGAGACACGGCCCAGACUCCUACGGGAGGCAGCAGUGGGGAAUAUGGCACAAUGGGCGCAAGCCUGACGCAGCAAUGCCGCGUGUGUGAAGAAGGCCUUCGGGUUGUAAAGCACUUUCAGCGGGGAGGCGUUACCCGAAGAAGAAGCACCGGCUAACUCCGUGCCAGCAGCCGCGGUAAUAC